RNAcentral lists this ribosomal RNA (366 nucleotides) under uncultured organism. RNAcentral describes it as "bacterial SSU rRNA". It matches the Rfam family "Bacterial small subunit ribosomal RNA", at positions 527 to 896 of the family's 1533-position model. The record is from RNAcentral.
CGGAGGUGCAAGCGUUAUCCGGAUUUACUGGGUUUAAGGGUGCGUAGGUGGGUCUGUAAGUCAGUGGUGAAAUCUCCGGGCUUAACUCGGAAACUGCCAUUGAUACUAUAGGUCUUGAAUUAUCUGGAGGUGAGCGGAAUAUGUCAUGUAGCGGUGAAAUGCUUAGAUAUGACAUAGAACACCAAUUGCGAAGGCAGCUCACUACGGAUAUAUUGACACUGAGGCACGAAAGCGUGGGGAUCAAACAGGAUUAGAUACCCUGGUAGUUCACGCCCUAAACGAUGGAUACUCGACAUACGCGAUACACAGUGUGUGUCUGAGCGAAAGCAUUAAGUAUCCCACCUGGGAAGUACGAUCGCAAGAUUG